RNAcentral lists this unclassified non-coding RNA (424 nucleotides) under Hevea brasiliensis (rubber tree). The record is from RNAcentral. Lineage: Eukaryota; Viridiplantae; Streptophyta; Magnoliopsida; Malpighiales; Euphorbiaceae.
GUUGAAUUUAACGGUGGUCAUUAUCGAUCCUAUCCGAUCCGAUGAUUGAAUCAUCUGAAAAAUGGUAGAAAAGUUCGUUGCCAUUUAUUUCUCUCUCCUCUUUUUCUCUCUGCAUCUCCUUCCUCCAGCACCAUUUGAGGCGAGGUUGAUCCAUUUGGAAAGCUUGUUUCACUGGGAGUCCAAUGCCACCAAGAAUGCCUCCAUCCAUUGUCUAAAUCCACUGGAAUCACGCUUGGAAGUUCACGGCAUAAUUCCUUCUCUCUCCCCCAAAAUUGCAUCGGAUCUUCGCUCGGAUGGGAUGUUGUAGCUCGCUGUUUGGGGUCCUAGGUGGCUGCCGAUGUGCACUGGUCAAGUUGUUAUAUCGCCGAUCGAUGGGUUGUUAGCUAACCAAGAGGGAGUAGUGAGAGUUUUUUUUGGGGGGGGG